CCUACGGGUGGCAGCAGUGAGGAAUAUUGGUCAAUGGACGAGAGUCUGAACCAGCCAAGUCGCGUGAAGGAUGACGUCCCUAUGGGUUGUAAACUUCUUUUAUCAGGGAACAAAACGAGGCACGUGUGCCUCUUUGAGAGUACCUGAUGAAAAAGGAUCGGCUAACUCCGUGCCAGCAGCCGCGGUAAUACGGAGGAUGCGAGCGUUAUCCGGAUUUAUUGGGUUUAAAGGGAGCGUAGGUGGGUUGUUAAGUCAGCUGUGAAAUUUCGCGGCUCAACCGCCGAAUUGCCGUUGAUACUGGCAGUCUUGAGUGCGGGUGAGGUAGGCGGAAUGCGUGGUGUAGCGGUGAAAUGCUUAGAUAUCACGAAGAACUCCGAUUGCGAAGGCAGCAUACUGGCGUGCAACUGACGUUGAUGCUCGAAAGUGUGGGUAUCGAACAGGAUUAGAUACCCCUGUAGUC
This 460-nucleotide ribosomal RNA is filed under the name uncultured bacterium. RNAcentral's name for it is "partial 16S ribosomal RNA". It matches the Rfam family "Bacterial small subunit ribosomal RNA", at positions 338 to 795 of the family's 1533-position model. The record is from RNAcentral.